This 128-nucleotide small RNA is filed under the name Weissella viridescens. RNAcentral describes it as "L10_leader". It matches the Rfam family "Ribosomal protein L10 leader". From Rfam's summary of the family: This family is a putative r-protein leader autoregulatory structure found in B. subtilis and other low-GC Gram-positive bacteria. The record is from RNAcentral. Lineage: Bacteria; Bacillati; Bacillota; Bacilli; Lactobacillales; Lactobacillaceae.
AGUAAUCAAUAGAUUCUACCUAAGACGCAGGUGUCGUAAGACUUAAUAUCCAGCCGAGGAAGUGCAAAAAACGCGAAAGCGACUUUUGACCCUCGGUACAAUUGUGCCGAGGGUUUUAGUUAGGAUCA